GUUAUUUACUCGCUGACUGCACAUGGUUGGCUGUGGUAGGUGAAAUAGGGUUGUGAUAAUGGUAUAGUUGGUCUUUCGACUUGUGGAAACAAGGCUUUAUAUUUGCCUUUAUUCGUAUCGGAGUCCUUGCAAGUGGUGCCAGGUUUUAGCAUCGGAAAUUUGGGUACACGCUUCAUAAUAUGAGCGAGAUUGAUUCCUCUCACAAGCUCGAUGCAGAGAAAGUAGAGCCGGGUAUAGACGAGAGUAUAGACUCGGAAAAUACUUUGUUUACGGUAAGUAAGGAUUGGAGCGAAUGUAUUGACAUCCCCGAGAGCAAAGGAGACGAGGAAACAGUCGAAAAUGGCAACAGUUCCAGUGGGGAAGAGAAACAAGCAUACGAGACGACUCGUGCUAUGACUGCUAUCUCAGCCACAAGCCCUCCGCCACCCCCCGUAGUCAACCCGUGGAACAAAACCACGAAAAACGCUCGGAAUUCCACUGAAAAUGUUGAACUGGAAGAGCCUGUGAAAGAGAGCGUAAAAGAGCCAGAGAUCGCCAAGGAAGAUGAUAAAUUGACGGAUUUAGAAAGCUGGCCCAGUCUUGGGGAAACCGGUCAAAAUACGGAAGAAUUGAAGAAUAUUACGGUGAAAAAGGAAGCGGUGACUGAAGUACCUAAUAAUACAAGUGAGGAGAAUUUAAAGACAACCCCAAGAAAGAAAGGAAAAAGCCGUAAAUGGGUUCCUCUUCCACUAGAUCCCAAAGGCCAAGACGGUGAGAACACAAGCCCUUCGCCAGACUCUGAUGGUACAUUCCCCCCACGCAGAUCUCCCAGUUGGCGUGGUGUAUCACCUGGUGGUCGAGGGGGAAGAGGUAGGAGAGGUGCCGGUGGUAUGUAUCGUGGCGGAAGAGGUCGACAAAGAGGAGGGGGGAGAGGAUCUGAUCAACAAAUGCACUACGGGAGCAACCCAUAUCAAUAUCCUAAUGUCAAUCCUUAUGCCGAUGGAGCGAUGUACGUGGCCCCGCAGCCCUAUGGAAUAUGCUAUUAUGACAAUCGAAAUUACAGCAACAUGCUAGACGAAUCUUUACUAAAGGACUAUAUUAGGAGACAAAUUGAAUAUUAUUUUAGUACUGAAAACCUGGCUAAAGAUGUCUACUUGAGACAGCAGAUGGAUGCCGAGGGGUAUAUUCCUAUAAAUCUAAUAGCAAGUUUUUACCGAGUGCAAGCGUUGAGUCAAGACCAGGAUUUGAUUUUGCAGGCGAUGUCGGAAAGUGACAAGGUUGAAGUGAAAGAUGGACUUCUUCGAAGUCUUGAUAACCCAGCUAAAUGGCCAAUUCAAGUCUCUCCCACUGUCACUAGUCCUACAGAACAUGAGAAGAAUGCGGAAUCAGUAAAGCCAAUCGAUAAAGAUGAAAAAAUCCCAGAUGAAGAUGAAACUCUGGAUUCAAACGGAUCAGCAGUUCAAACGGAGACUAAGGGCGAAGUCACUUUGGACAGUAAAACAGAAGAGUCAUCUGCUGAAAGAAACAAAAUUCACAGUGAGUGGGAGUGGAAAGAAGUGAAGAGGAAGAAACCUCACAAGAGUCCAGACAAGAUUAUUGCUGCUAAGCCUAAAGUUACCGUUGGAGCAUUCGAACAAGAAGAACUGGAUUUUAAAUUCGACGAAGAACUUGUCGCUAUGGGAAAAUUUAAGGACUACAAAGACUGGUCUGAUGAAUCGGACGAUGAACUUGAUGAUUAUGAUGUUGGUAACAUUAUGAUUGUUACACAAACUCCGCCUCCCGCCAGCAAGAAACACGACCGUACUGGAAAUUUUGUAACACGAGCGAAACUGAAUGAUGAAUUUUCCAAGAUCAUUAAUGAUGGAUUAUAUUACUACGAACAGGAUCUCUGGGAUGACAGCGACGAGAGCUACUUAAGUAAAAAGGUCGAGCUGUCCUCUUCGUGGAAAAAGGUUGACGUAAUCUCCCGAGAUUACUUCGAUAGUCUUAAUGUCGACGGUCGUCCGAGGUCUAGCAGCGAGUUCUUUGUUAUGGACAUCGAACAAACCUCCGAAGAGGCUCAAAAGUUGUCCGAGAUAACGAAUCAGCUAUCACCAAGCGCUCCUCCGUUCCGACCGCGAGCGAUGACUGCACCCGUCGAACAGUUGUCCAAAUCGCUUCCUACGCAUGUCCCUUGUUUGCCUCCUUCACCAUCUAAACGUCCGAAGGGGUCGCGAACGCCAAAAUAUCUGAAAGAUAAUCAAAUUGCUCCAAGGUUUUAUCCUGCCAUUAGUAAGGAAAACGUGCCCGAUGAUGGUCUGCCGAAGAAACGAAAAACAAAGUAUAGCAAGAAUCCCCCCGUCGAACAUCACGUUGGCUGGAUAAUGGGCAGUAAACCGCAUCCUGCAGCAAGUGCAUCUGCGGGGACGUCUCCUCUAAGUACGCCGUCAUUUUUGGGACCGAAUGUGCCGUCCACGUCGUCCGGAACUUUCGGAUCGGCGCCUAUCUCGUUUCCACUCUUCCAACAUCCUUCGCAUGAGCUGUUGAAAAAGAAUGGAUUCACACAACAGCUUUAUCACAAGUUUCGUCAAAAAUGUUUUAAAGAGAGGGCCAAAAACGGAGUGGGACAGUCGCAAGAAAUGAACACAUUGUUUCGGUUUUGGUCCUUUUUCUUACGAUCGCAUUUCAAUCGGAAAAUGUACGCCGAGUUUAGGAAAUUUGCAAAUGAAGAUGCCAAAGCGGGAUACAGGUACGGUGUCGAGUGUCUAUUUAGAUAUUACAGUUAUGGUUUGGAGAAGAAAUUCCGUCCCGAUCUUUUCCAAGACUUUCAGGAAGAAACACUCUCCGAUCACGAUUCUGGCUUCCUUUAUGGCCUUGAAAAGUUUUGGGCAUUUUUGAAGUACUUUAAGGGCAAAAUGUUACCAGAAAUCAACCCAGAAAUAACCCGAAGAUUGGAAAGAUACAAAACCAUAGAAGACUUUAGAAAUGACCCUCUAAACCGGUUUAGUGAAGAAGGUGAUCUAUCUGUAAGAUUCCCUAAGAAAGGUGAUCACAAAUCAGGCGGUCAGUCGAAACACGAUCGCAGUCAGGAACCAAGUACUAGAACAGAGCAAGAACUCCAGGAGGGUGAGAAUCGAACUCAUGCCGUUAAGACGACGACGACAAACCAAGGAACGGCAGGUAAUGGAAGAGCAAGACUCCCUUCAAAAGGAAAGGAUGAACGCGAUAAAGCGACUGAGAGUCGAGUUGAGGAAAAAGCCCCAACUGAAAAAGGAGCGACCGGACGUGAUGGGCACCAUGGCCGCGAGGAGACUAAAAACCAGCAUUCGGAUCACCAUCAGAAAAGUAACCGUCGUCCACCUGGAAGAGGUCAUGGUCCCGGACAGGAUCACCAUGGAACUGGUCAACAUUGGGUAGGUAAGGAUACCCAGGGUCAAGGGAAACAUCAUCAUCCGCCAUCCAAGGGCCACCAUUCUUCAAGAGACAACCCCUCUCCACCAAAAGAGCACCAGGCAUCAAAAGGGAAGCACGCUUCGUCAAAAGAUCAUCCAGAUUCGUCUAAAGAUGUGCAAGGUGCAAAGGACCAUCCCGAGCCACCGACAGCUCAUUCGCCAAGAGAUCGCGCGCCGCCGAAAGGUCACCACGGUACUUCUAGAGCUCACCACGGACCAUUAAAAGAUCAGAAUGAUCCAUCAAAAUCUCAUCACGGAACUUCAAAAGAUCAUCACGGACCGUCCAAGGAACAUCACACGUCUGCGAAGGAUUUUCACGGACCGCAAAAAGAUCAGCGCUCGUCACCAAAGGAACAUCACGCUCCUUCGAAAGAUCAUCACGGACCGUCGAAAGAACAGCACGCUUCUUCGAAAGAUCAUCACGGACCGUCAAAAGAUCAGCACUCGCCCUCAAAAGAACAUCACGCACCAUCCAAAGAUCGUCACGGCCCAUCAAAAGAUCAGCAUUCACAAUCAAAGGAACAUCACGGGCCCUCCAAAGAUCAGCAAGCUCCGUCGAAAGAACGACACGCGUCGCCAAAGGAUCAAAACACGUCUUCAAAGGAUCUUCACGCGAUAUCAAAAAAACAUCAGGCAAAAGAUCACCAAGCGGCUUCAAAACCACAUCAACCUUCUUCGAAGGACCAACAUUCUUCAUCAAAAGACCAUCAAACCCAGUCGAAAGAACACACUCCCAAAGCCCAUCAAGGUGCCUCGAAAGAUCAACACGCCGCAUCAAGUUCAAAAUACCAUUCGACUGCAAAGGAGCACCACGCCAGGGGCAAAGAACAUCGUGUUCCACCGAAAGAUCAAGGCGUUGUGUCGGGAAACCAGCAACCUGUGUCGAAGAAACCGCACAGCUCGGCGAAGAGCUCACAUACCUCACAAAAACGACAAAACUCUCCAUCUAAAGAAAGCGCCUCUUCCAAGGAUCAGCAGAAAGAAAAAGACAUUGUGACUAAAGAAGAGAAAUCGUCUGGCAAAAAUAACUCGCAAGCAAAUGAUGGACCUCGCGAAAUUGCAAAGGAACAAUCGGUACCGGAAGAGCAACAACAACAGGUUGAAGCAAAAACUGCUCCCGAAGAAACAAAGCAUUCGGAUUUGAAAGAAAGCAAUGACAAUAGUUUACAACAACGUGCGAAAUCUGAGGACAGCGAUGUAACGCAAAACAAAUCGGAAGCUUCUACAUCUCAGGACGCUACCAGGCCACAUGCGUCUACUGGCGAUAAGUGAGGCCGCGCAUAGCACUGGAGAAAAGACCAAAGAGGUGAAUGUUUAUAGGUUGAAGUACAAUUUUUUGGAAAAAAAAUUUAAUGAAAAAGAUUAGCUGUUUCUGGCAUACUUCUUAUAGGAAGGAGCUGGGGGUUUAUCAACGAUUCGAGCAAAUGACAAUUGAUCAAUAGGGCGUUUGCUUUUGCCAUCGUACGGCGUUUAAUUUAAUGAUUUAACGAUUCAUCACCAGGGUGGAAUUUUUCAAGAACGUUGUCAAAAGGAAUGUCCAACCGCUACCCCUGCCAUUGCAAUCGUCUACUAGAUAUAUCGCAAAAUCUGGAUUUUGCUGAACUAUGCUGCCGUAUACAACAAGUGUGUAUUAUAAACGAGCCCAGAAAAAAAAACAAGCCCUUCAUAUUGCGAUCAGCUGACAUGAAAAUCGAUGAGGCGGGUGUCAGGUGUUAAAGAUGUGGUAUUUUUCAAAGCCUGUUUCGUUGAAUUCGAUGGAUGCGAUCAAUUCGACAAGAACGACUAGUUUUAAAAUGAUUCAUAUUAUUUGUAACGAUUUUUAGGGAAAAUUGCUUUAUCCAGGGUUGGUAUCAGGUGCAGAUGAGGUGAAAUCAAAUUACCAAGGACAAAUAAUUCCUUGUUGAUGUUUUUUUAAGAUAAGUAACAUUAUUCAAAAACAUUUGCUCUUUAUUGUGUACUUACAAAAUGAGGAAAAUUUUCCAUCCCUGGAUACAUGCACAAUAUUUCUUAAAAGGCCAAACUAAAGUAUUUUAUGCCAGUAUAAACUAGUUGCUAUUAGCGUUUUGCUUAUACGGGAGCUUUUAGCAAACCGAUUCUAUUAUUCGCUUAGAAAGGUGCUGGGUAGUGAAAGAAUAACGGUAUUAAGAACUGGCAGUUUAUAUAGGAUCAGUAUAUAAAAUUAACCAGAACUCCCACUCUCCACAUCACAUCUGUUUAGUGUUAACAGUGUACGAAUUGUAUGCCAUCAAGCCAUGUCCGUAUCGCUAAACAAGUGUCAUCAGCUUUGGUUUGUGGAGAGUGAGACAUCUGCUCAUUAUGUGUAAAGUAUUCUUAAUCAAAAGCCUCUACUCUGAAAUGACUUGCGACGAAUUUCGAAAAUGGAAGCCACAAAGCGGGACAAUUCGUAGGAUUUAUCGACACCAGACCUAAGCAAAGUGGAUGCAAAAUUCGAGAGCGCAUUUCAAAAAAGAG
Molecule: unclassified non-coding RNA, 5882 nt
Filed under: Dendronephthya gigantea
Lineage: Eukaryota; Metazoa; Cnidaria; Anthozoa; Malacalcyonacea; Nephtheidae
Description: la-related protein 1B-like, transcript variant X2
Source: RNAcentral